Molecule: ribosomal RNA, 120 nt
Filed under: Ipomoea nil (Japanese morning glory)
Lineage: Eukaryota; Viridiplantae; Streptophyta; Magnoliopsida; Solanales; Convolvulaceae
Source: RNAcentral
GGAUGCGAUCAUACCAGCACUAAUGCACCGGAUCCCAUCAGAACUCCGAAGUUAAGCUGUGCUUGGCGAGAGUAAGUACUAGGAAUGGGUGACCCCUGGGAAGUCCUCGUGUUGCAUCCC